Molecule: RNA transcript, 2402 nt
Organism: Solenopsis invicta (red fire ant)
Lineage: Eukaryota; Metazoa; Arthropoda; Insecta; Hymenoptera; Formicidae
Exons: 8
Source: RefSeq, a predicted model, not a curated record
UCAGUAAACAACAAGGAUAAAAUGAUAUAUAUGAGGGUACUUAAUUGAUGUUUUCGAACGCAGCUUUAAUGUGAUUGGUUAGACCUAAAAGAAUACACUAAUAGCAGUGAGCGCUCACUCAACUACUGAGUUUGCUGAACGCAGCCACUGUUGCUCAAUGCAGUGACAAUUCUAUGUUCUAUGCUUCUGUGAUCCGAGAGAAAUGUGAUCCGGUAAAUAUUUGAAUUGGGAGUCGUUGGUUGUCCGCGUACCAGUAAGCGUGUUUGUAAUAGAGUGAAAAAGCGCGGUUAGGAUUGCUGAUGCAAUCCUCCUUAGACUUUGCCUAAUUAUAUUUUGUAUUCCCAUUUAUUGUUUUGUAUUCCGAUUCCACAUAAUCUACCAUCGUAACCAGUGAUAACCUUGUUUAAUGGCCGAAUCGUCCCCACUCUGACUAUUCCCAGGAGACGGGUGCCAAAUUAAAGAAAGAAGAAGAAGAAGAUGAUGUGAUCCAAGAAAGUUCUGUCUAGAAAGUGAUUCCUGUAGUGUUACUAGUGUUGCGUUAUUGAGAAGAUCAUUCUGUUCGAAGUACUUUUGCUUUAUUUAUAUAAGAAUCAGGUUUUUACUUCUAAUAAUGGACGAAAUAACGGCUGAGAAUACAUCAGAACUGAGACUGCAAACAGACCCACAGUCUUCGAAAGAGACUACAGAGAAAAUACCAUGGCCAGCAUAUGCAGAGGCAUUUGAGGUGCAGGAAGAAUUGGGAAAUGAGAAAAAUUUAGCACUUUUGUGUAAAAUUUGUAUUGGAAAAAAAAUUAUACAUGCUAGCAGAACUUCAACAGCAAACUUAAGAAAACAUUUAACUGCAAAACAUCAACAUAUAUUGAAAAAAAUAGAUGAGACAAAAGUUAAUUUGAAACGUCCAAAUAAAGAUGAAAAUGCCAAUAUUCCAAAUAAGUGUCAUGUAUUGGAAAAGUGGGGCUCUGGGAGCUCAAAGAUUACUCAAAAUAUAUUUGAUAAAGCUAUAUUACAGUUUAUUAUCGAAGACAUUCAACCCCUUUCCACUAUUGAUAGUCCAGCAUUCAUUAAUUUCUUAAGAAUUGGAGUUUCUUCACAUAUUCGUAUAAUGUGCAGGAAAACAUUAAAAGAAAAACUUUGUCAAACGUAUCUUGAAAUGAAGAGUACCCUAGAAAAAAAAUUAACAGAAAUAGAAAUAGUUGCGACAACGGCAGAUUUAUGGAGCAAGGCGAAAAAAAGUUACUUAGGAAUAACAAUCCAUUGGAUUAAUCCUGAUACUCUCUCUCGACAAUCAGCUGCAUUAGCUUGUCGAAGGCUGAAAGGACGACAUACAUAUGACAUAUUAGCUGAUGCAAUUUAUUCGAUUUUUUUGGAGUAUCAUAUUCAAAACAAAAUAUGUUGCAUGACAACGGACAACGGAUCAAAUUUUGUCAAAGCCUUUCAAUAUUUUAAGAAAAGUGAAGAUGAUGAGGACUUUGAGGAAGUGUUUCAUGGUUUAAGUGAUCUUUUAAAUGUGGACGAUGUAGAAAAUGUAGAUGCAGAAAAUUUAUUGACACUUCCACUACAUCAUAGAUGUGUCAGCCACACUUUGAACCUUGUCGCAGUGAAAGAUUCUGAGAAAGCUUUAGACAGCGAUGCUGUAUACAAGAAAAAACAUAGAGUGACAUUUGCCAAAUUAGUAAAAUUGUGGAAUAAACAAAACCAAUCUACACAAACAGCAGAUAAAAUAAACGAAAUUUGUGGUGUAUACUUAAAAACUCCCGUUAUUACCAGAUUAUGGAUCCUUUGGCACGGGCCAUAGACAUAUUACAGAAAGAAUCGGGAAUGUAUAUGGGAUAUUUAUUGCCCGUCUUGCAAACAUUACAAGAAAGAUUAGAAAAAUUUGAUAAAAGCGGAUUUAUACAUUGUCAAUCACUAAUCACAGCUAUUCAAGAAGGUUUAAAUAAAAGAUUUUCCACAUUAUUCGAAAAAAAGGAAUUGAUCGUCGCAAGUUGCCUACACCCAAAAUUUAAAUUAAACUGGUUACAUGGAGAGAGAAAAAAAGUGGCUAAAGGUUAUUUAGAAGACUUGUUAGGAGUUAAUAGUUCUGAUGACAGUUCCCCAAAUGUUACUGAAGAUAAUGACGACUUUUUCGAUUUCAAUAAACAAGUUAAGGAAGUUGAAUCCUUACAAGAGGAAUUGUACCGUUUCCUAAAAUCAAACGCUUUGCAUGUAAAUAUGUUGAACGAUUAUCCCAGAAUAAAAAAAUUUUUUAUUAAAUAUAACACGGCACUGCCCAGUAGUGCAUCGGUUGAACGAAUGUUCAGCGUUAGUGGUUCUGUAGUAACACCACAGAGAGGAAAACUUAAUGAUAACACAAUGGAAUACCAAACUCUUUUAAAAAUAAACAAAAAUUUUUAUUAAAGGUU